CCUACGGGAGGCAGCAGUAGGGAAUCUUCCACAAUGGACGAAAGUCUGAGGGAGCAACGCCGCGUGUGUGAUGAAGGGUUUCGGCUCGUAAAACACUGUUGUAAGAGAAGAAUGACAUUGAGAGUAACUGUUCAGUGUGUGACGGUAUCUUACCAGAAAGGAACGGCUAAAUACGUGCCAGCAGCCGCGGUAAUACGAAUGUUCCAAGCGUUAUCCGGAUUUAUUGGGCGAUAAGCGCGAGCAGACGGUGGUUUAAGUACGAAGUGAGAGCCCACGGCUUAACUGUGGAAGUGCUUUGGAAACUGGAUAACUUGAGUGCAUGAGAGGAGAGUGGAACUCCAUGUGUAGCGGUGAAAUGCGUAGAUAUAUGGAAGAACACCAGUGGCGAAGGCGGCUCUCUGUACUGUAACUGACGUUGAGGCUCGAAAGUGUGGGUAGCAAACAGGAUUAGAUACCCUUGUAGUC
This 465-nucleotide ribosomal RNA is filed under the name uncultured Weissella sp. RNAcentral's name for it is "bacterial SSU rRNA". It matches the Rfam family "Bacterial small subunit ribosomal RNA", at positions 338 to 795 of the family's 1533-position model. The record is from RNAcentral. Lineage: Bacteria; Bacillati; Bacillota; Bacilli; Lactobacillales; Lactobacillaceae.